This 353-nucleotide ribosomal RNA is filed under the name uncultured bacterium. Its description in RNAcentral is "bacterial SSU rRNA". It matches the Rfam family "Bacterial small subunit ribosomal RNA", at positions 330 to 680 of the family's 1533-position model. The record is from RNAcentral.
UCCAGACUCCUACGGGAGGCAGCAGUGAGGAAUAUUGGUCAAUGGGCGAGAGCCUGAACCAGCCAAGUCGCGUGAAGGAUGACGGCCCUACGGGUUGUAAACUUCUUUUGUCAGGGAGCAAUUGGGUCCACGCGUGGGCUUAGCGAGAGUACCUGAAGAAAAAGCAUCGGCUAACUCCGUGCCAGCAGCCGCGGUAAUACGGAGGAUGCGAGCGCUAUCCGGAUUUAUUGGGUUUAAAGGGUGCGUAGGCGGAAUAUCAAGUCAUCGGUAAAAAUUCGGGGCUCAACCCCGUCGUGCCGUUGAAACUGAUGUUCUUGAGUGGGCGAGAAGUAUGCGGAAUGCGUGGUGUAGCG